AAGCAAGCAAGGUUUCACUUGCUGCCUAAAACAAUGCCGUCCACAGAACAUAACUGUACUUGUGAACAGAAAAGCAGGAGACUGAUCACUCCACAGACCUUGUAUUCACACCCAGUUUCAGGACUUAACAUAUGCACCCAAUGAGAAGAUACUUCUAAAACCUUGACAAUUUGUAAACUGGAAAGCCCCACUAAGAAAAGGUUAUCCAGUGAUUGGCCUGCAAAAACACAGGAACGUUCUAAUUAUCGUACCCUAUCACCUAUAACAACACACUGUAAGGAGAAUACAGCACCACUUUUUAAGACAAAUUUGAACUUGGGACAAUCAAAGGCAACCAAACCACUAACUAAACUGUCAGCUUCCUGAGGGGAGAGACCAUUUCUACCUUGGAUAUCCAGCAUUUACAACUCUGCCUUCAAAUAGAUAUGUACUGUGAUCACUUUAGCAGGACUGUUUCCUGUGUUACACAGCAGCCUCUCCACCUUUGCUGUGCUUUCUCAGAUUAUGUGGAAGCAGAUGAGGCUUUAGUAAGAGGAAGCAUUUGAAUUGCAUCUAUUCCACGGCUACAGGAGCUCUCAGUUACAGGUGGCAAGGUUUUGCAAUCCUCAUUUUGAAUAAAAGUCAUUUCUCUAGUA
Cavia porcellus (domestic guinea pig) is the source of this 635-nucleotide long non-coding RNA. RefSeq lists it as uncharacterized. Lineage: Eukaryota; Metazoa; Chordata; Mammalia; Rodentia; Caviidae. The transcript is spliced from 4 exons. The record is from RefSeq and is a predicted model, not a curated record.